RNAcentral lists this ribosomal RNA (120 nucleotides) under Salmo salar (Atlantic salmon). Lineage: Eukaryota; Metazoa; Chordata; Actinopteri; Salmoniformes; Salmonidae. The record is from RNAcentral.
GCUUACGGCCAUAUCUGCCUGGGUACGCCCGAUCUCGUCUGAUCUCGGAAGCUAAGCAGCGGUCGGGCCUGGUUAGUACUUGGAUGGGAGACCGCCUGGGAAUACCAGGUGCUGUAAGCA